Molecule: RNA transcript, 2986 nt
Organism: Anarrhichthys ocellatus (wolf-eel)
Lineage: Eukaryota; Metazoa; Chordata; Actinopteri; Perciformes; Anarhichadidae
Gene name: prostaglandin E2 receptor EP4 subtype-like
Exons: 3
Source: RefSeq, a predicted model, not a curated record
CUCUGGUUAACUGCAUCUGGAUUGCUGGGAAGCAGAAUGGAUGAGACUAGAGAAAAUACUCCCACUGACUACUCAUCAUCCGUUACAGCUGUUUAAAGGAGAUGCGCACUCCCAAAUUCACGAAAGACCAAAUGAACAAACAAGCUUAUCGGUGUGUUUCGCGAUGGAGAGCCAGAACUUUACGCACGGACCUGUUUCCACAAAUGAGACUCAGGUUCAGCAUCAACAUGCGAACGUGACAAUCGCAAUCGCUGUACCGAUUUUUAUGUUCGCCGGAGGCGCCAUUGGGAAUUUAAUUGCCAUAAUCGUCCUUUCAGUAUCAAGACAGGAGAGGAAAUCUUCAGCUUUCUACACGCUGGUGUGCGGUCUGGCGGUGACGGACCUGCUGGGCACCUGCCUGGCCAGUCCGGUCACCAUAGCCAACUACCUGUACGAUGAAGUGCUGAAGGGACGUGUCUGCGAGUUUGACUCCUUUUUGUUGCUGUUUUUCGGGUUAACAGGACUGAGCAUCAUAUGCGCCAUGGCAGCAGAGCGGUACCUGGCUAUAUGCUGCCCGUACACCUACCAGCGGUGGCGGGUGGACCGACGCUUAGCGCAAAAGUUCCUUUUCUUCAUUUACAUCAGCCACAUCUUCCUCUGCUGCCUGCCGAUGAUGGGCAUGUCGAAGAGCAAGCUGCAGCCGUGUGGCGAGUGGUGCUUCAUCGAAUGGAGGCCAGAAGAGCCCGUGGCCACCGCUUACUCCGUCCUGUACGGCGUCAUCAGCCUGCUGCUCAUCCUAGGCACCAUCGUGCUGAACCUGGCGGUGUGCGGAGCGCUGCUGCUGAUGCGGCAGAGGACCGCGCAGCGGCCCGUCACCACAGCCAGCGUCGGGCAGAGGUGGAGUGCUCUGUCCUCGGCUGCAGAGACGCAGAUGAUCGCGGUGCUGGUGAUGACCUCCGUGGUGGUUCUGGCAUGUUCAGCCCCGUUGGCGGUGCGUGUGUUUGCCAACCACUUCAUGACGCAAAAUGACCCUGCUAACCUGGCUGCCAUCCGGAAUGCCGCUGUGAACCCCAUCCUGGACCCCUGGAUCUACAUCCUCCUCAGGAGGUCACUGUUUCGACGGUUACUCAGUUUAUACAGGCGAUGUAGAAGCACUCGCAGAAGUUCAUCUCCUAAAACACAAAGGAACCGGUUUUAUCCCGAACCCAUGAGGGAGAGCCACGUGUUCACCCAGCUGAUGUGCAAUGCAAACAUCAUGACUCAGCUGCCUGCCACCGUCAACUUCACUCCGCACAACGCAGAGAGCCUCUGCUUGACCUAAACAACGAAGACGUGGUUGACACCUAUGAAUGUCUGGUGCUCUCAGGCUGCGAGCAGCUCGAUGCGGGGACUUUGUCUCAGAGCUGUCGUCAGUGGGAUGGAAAGACUGACGUCUCUGCCGACCCGCAGCUGGACAGGACCCUCAGGGUUACUGAAAGAUUAUUUAUUUAAUAAAAGUAGACUGCUGAUCUGCAUCUAUAGACGACUCCUGCAGUGAUGCAGGACAGAAUAAACUAUGUGACUUGGAUGUUAUUACCGAAGUGCAACAAUAAGACACGGUCCAGCCUUUGUGUUGUGCCUUUCACCGUCUUCCAGCUUCGCCUCAUACAAUUGGGGCUCUGGCUUCAUCACACCUUAAUCAGUGUGAUGCUACAGGAAUAUACAGCUCAUUUCAUCUGGAGGUUCAAUUGACCAGAGCCUCUUGGAAGAUCCUGUGCGAAAAGUCAUGUAUUCAUAUAACAGUGCAUGGAUAUCACAAGGUUUUACUUGAGGUUUUGUCAUGGAGGCCUACAGGUAGGGUCAUUUGGAGCCUAUUAAAGACCCUAGCUUGAGCCUUGGUGUCUUUUGUCUCUACCGUUUUAGACUUGAAUGGAUCCCAUGUUGCAUUUCAUGUUGAAAUAUUCAACUCUGUACCUUUAUCCAGCAGUGCAUGGGGUCAGCAGCUUUCAGUUUUUUCAGGUCAGAUUCAGUUUCUGUCGAGGAACAUAUAAAAAAAAAACAGCGUGUAGGAAGUCAGUCACACACUCACUUGGCCAUCAACUAUUCUUUUUGGUUUCCUAGACUUCGACCAUAUCGGUGCUGAACUUACAUGUGCACGUCAUACACUGGGAAGAGUGUGGUUCAAGGAGUUUCAGCGAAGGAGGGAGGCAACAUACCGGUAACUUUAACAUCGUGACAGGGAUGACGACUGAGCUCCAUCUGCAGGAUCUUGUUCAAAAUGUCUCCCCAGAACCUUUGGCAGUUCCAAGUGGUCAGGCUGACUCACCUUGUUGUAGAGGAAGACCCCGACAAUGGCCGUCAUCAUGCCCAUGACGUUUGUGAGGGAGACCGGGUUGCGCAGCAUCAGCAGCGAGAUGCUAAUGACCAUGAUCCUCUUGGUGGCGUUGGCGACGGCGUAGCUGAGCGGGCUGACGAUGUUCAGCACGCUGAAGGCGAUGACGUUCUGAGCGAAGUUGCAGAAGCCACUGAUGAGCAGGAGGACAAACGUACCCGUCCACCCGGAGACGUCUGCCUGUAAGGAAAGCAGCGAGGGUCAGGCUACGUUCAGGGUCAUGAAACAAGCUCCCACCACCGCAACAGGCGGUGUAAAUGUCACGAGAAAGACGGUACCGCUACUCACCAGAUCUCCGUUAACAAGAAACACUGAGAGAUCCACCAGAACCCAGGUGGGCACCAUGAAGAUAACAGCAUUAAAGCCCAGGAUGUUGAGCAGCCUCAAGUGGUGGAUAUUUGUGUCACGCAGCACCUAUAGAGAGGAAGGAUCAGUUCAGAACAAUGUGGUAGAAAAAUAAACAACUGCUCCAGCGAAGGAGAUGAAGAUGUAUAGAUUUGGGGUUUUUAUUGUUACGAUACUUCCUGUUCCUCCACUACGACCUUAAUCAACGUGAUUUUGCUAUUUCACUUUGAUGUUAUAAAAAGAAAACGAUCACCGAGUCAGAAGGAAGAUUUAUGCAAGGGUCAGUAAAAU